Molecule: long non-coding RNA, 1094 nt
Organism: Astatotilapia calliptera (eastern happy)
Lineage: Eukaryota; Metazoa; Chordata; Actinopteri; Cichliformes; Cichlidae
Source: Ensembl
CUAGGAGUUAGAGUCUCCUUACCGUUUGGAACGGUAUCUGCGCUUUUUUGGUCAGCAGAAGUUGGACUUUGGGCGUGUAACUUUAACUUAAAACUUCAGGGUAAGCCUUGGCUGUGUAAUGCCAAAAAUAGAGCUUCAGGCAAAGUUUGGGUUGGUUGACGCUUUUAAAUUGUGUUAGGGAUUUUAGAGAUGAGGCCAGAAACAGUUAAAGUCUUGAUACUGGUGAAUUGGUCGCAAAAAACUCAGGGAGUUUAUCCGCUGGGCGGUUAUUUAAAAUUUGUCUAAAUUGUGUAGGCGCUAAAGCUGACAGAUCUGACAGUGGUUGUAAAUAUAAGACGUCGUUGUAAUAUAGAAUAAGAAAAUUUGGUGUGAGAGAUCUCUGUGUGUCGAGUCAGUAAUGCACUGACUGCCUGCUGCUAUUUUUAGACGGUGUGUGUGAGUGUGAAAAUGCAAAUGAGUAAGCAGUGAACUGUUUAAGCCACAGUUGGUUUUACAAAUACUGCUGCAAACAUUGUUGAGUGUGUGUUUAAAAUGCCAUUUAUGUUUAUUAGAGGACUACAAAUAAAGUUUUGAGUUGCCGUAGGGGAUGUAUAGUAAUUGACUGAAGUUGGAUGUAGAUAUAUAAAUAUAUUGAGUGCACUGUGUAUACUUAAGAUUAACAUAUUACUUUCAGUAGUAACUUCUCUCCAGCAAUAGUUGCUGGUGUGUUUUAUUUUUUCAAUUUCUUGUGUGAAUGCGGUGACUAGAAGGUUUUGAAUGAUGAAUAAAGGUGUGAGAGGUAUUUCUUUGGUGAUGUAAAGUAGGAUGUUUUAAAGUUUGAAAGUGUUUUUAAUUUAAGAGAUGCAUGAGUGAUGUUAUAAGAGUUUAGUUUAUUUAAAAGGUGUGUGUGAGAGGAUUAUGAAAUCAUUGUGUGAAUGAUGCUACAUUUUAGAUCAAAAGUUAGUAGAAUUACAGAGGGUUUGUAGAUUGUAAAUACAAAAUAAGUUUGAUUAGCCUGGAGAAACAGCAGAGCAGCUGCGUGCUGUGUGUGUGUAACAGGAAAUGGUGUGGGUGACAGGAAGUUUGCAUGCCCAUAUAAGGUGACGAGUGAGCAC